UGUAAGCGUAUACCAAAGUUGUUGCAGUUAAAACGCUCGUAGUCGGAAUUUGGCAGUUCCGGAUGUGUGCACGUCGUGUGCGCACUUCGCGGGGAUUGCUUUUGUGGUCUUGCGUAGGAUGAGGCACUGUUAUUAGUGAACGUCCUCACGCAACCACUUUUUACUGUGAGAAAAUCAGAGUGCUCAAAGCAGGCAUUUGCCGUGAAUGUAUUAGCAUGGAAUAAUAGAAUAGGACUUGGUUCUAUUUUGUUGGUUUGUUGGGACUGAGUAAUGAUUAAGAGGGACAGUUGGGGGCAUUUGUAUUUCGGUGCUAGAGGUGAAAUUCUUAGAUUACCGAAAGACAAACUGCUGCGAAAGCGUCUGCCAAGGAUGUUUUCAUUGA
RNAcentral lists this ribosomal RNA (382 nucleotides) under uncultured eukaryote. RNAcentral describes it as "partial 18S ribosomal RNA". It matches the Rfam family "Eukaryotic small subunit ribosomal RNA", at positions 592 to 976 of the family's 1831-position model. The record is from RNAcentral.